Molecule: long non-coding RNA, 2363 nt
Filed under: Manihot esculenta (cassava)
Lineage: Eukaryota; Viridiplantae; Streptophyta; Magnoliopsida; Malpighiales; Euphorbiaceae
Description: long non-coding RNA (MESC_LNC003896)
Source: RNAcentral
CGGCAAUAAUGCCUUCAAUUUUCCGGCUUUAGAAAAUGUUACCGUCAAUAGAUGCUCCCGGAUGAAGAUUUUCGCUUCCGGACUUCUAAAUACACCAAAACUACGAGGAAUACUCCUGGAAUAUCAACAGCGUUGGGAGGGAAACCUUAAUGCAACACUAGCGGAAAUGGUAUUUGCAUAUUUAUUCUUAUGCUUUCUUCUUAAUUUUCAUGAUAUCUGUUGCAUGCAUAUAUGUUAUAUGUUUAUGAUAAGUCAGUUCAUUUGUUUUUCCCUUUGUCUUGUGGGAUCAGGCAUUUUGCCAAUAUUUUAAAGCAUCUGAAUUUCCUGAGCUCUGGCAUGAUGGGAUGCAAGGGAGACUCUUACGCAAUGUAAAAAUGCUUGAGGUGGAUAAAUGUGCAAUGUAUAACAAAGCUAUACCAUCCAAUGUACUGGUGUUUUUAAACAAGUUGGAAGAGCUUGAGGUGAAAGACUGUGAUUCAGCAGAAAUAGUAUUUGAUUUGGAAGGGCUAUCUGCAGAUGAUGGGCUGCUUCCCCGACUAAGGAAAUUGGAAUUAACAAGUCUGCCAAUGUUGAGACAUUUAUGGAACAAGGAUCCCAGAGGAAUUUUAGAAUUCAAGAACCUAAAGUGGCUUCAUGUUGGAAACUGUAGCAGCUUGAAGUAUAUUUUUACCUGGUCGAUGGCAUCGGGUCUUUUGCAACUUGAAGAGAUAGAAAUAUACAAUUGUAAGAUGAUUGAAGGAAUCAUAGAAAAUGAGGAAGCAGCUGAUAAGAUAAUAUUAUUGCCUUCAUUGAAAUCUGUAGUCCUUAAAUAUUUGCCUAGAUUUUCCAAAUUGUGUUCAGGAUGGAGUAAUGUGGAAUGUCCAUUGUUGGAAGAGAUGAGCAUACAUGAAUGUCCAAGUUUAAAGAAUAUCUUUGCCACACAGACACUAGUGAACACAAUUGAUGAGUUUCAUACACCUUUUCUUAAUAAGGUUAGUUUUCUAUUCAUUCUUUUCUCAAACAUUGCAUUUGAAAACUAUAAAAACACUAAUUUAUACGUCAGCUUAUUUAUUUUAAACGAUUUUUACAUUUAAUGUUAAUUUUUCUUUUCAAUUUAAAAAAAAUAAAUCAUACAAAACUCUUCAUUAAAAGAUAUAGAAAAAGAAAAUGAUAUGUUAAGAAUUUAAUUUAUUUACCAUAUUUAUUACUAAAAUAAAAUUUUAUCUUUCUUAAUAAAAACUGAAAUAAAAAAUACAUUAAUUUUUUACUAAUUAGAAAUUUUUUUAUUUGCUGAUGUGCAGAUGUUUCCAAAUUUGGAAAAGUUUUCGUUAGACAAGAAGUCUACCAUAACCAUACUUGGAUUUCAAUUUCCAACAUGCUUCUUUUCCAAAGUAAAAGUUCUUAAAUUGAGUUUCUUUCUAAACAAAUAUCAUGUUCCUCUGUUUAGUUUACUUCCAAUAUUCCCCAAUCUCCAAAGACUUGAAGUUCUUGAUUCUUCUCUCGACGAGCUACUUCCAUUUGAAGAACUGGGUGGUGACCAAGAAGAUAUCACUACAAUUCCACGUAUAAGAGAUUUAAAGCUUAAAAAUCUUCCUGAUUUAAAGCAUAUAUGGAAUCCAGAUGGCCAACUGCAUGACCCAUUAAUUCAGUCUCUUGAGACUUUUGAGAUAGAGUCUUGUGGAAAUUUGAUUGUUUUAGCACCAUCCUCUGUGUCUUUGAGAAAUCUGAAAACUCUCAAAGUAUAUAGAUGCAACACAUUGGCAAAUAUUUUUACAUCAGCCGCAGCCAAAAGUAUGGUACUACUUGAGACAUUGAUUGUAAGAUCUUGCAAUAUGUUGACCAAAAUAAUAGGAGGUGUUCAAGAGGAUGGAUCAACUGAUGAGAUUGUUUUCAGUAAGAUGAAAACAUUAGAACUUGAAGAUUUACAGAACCUCAAAUGCUUCUGCUUGGGCAGUUACUCUUUCAAAUUCCCAUCUUUAGAACAAGUGGAUGUUUUCAGAUGCCCCAAGUUGAGGACUUUCACUGUCCGCCAGCUGAGCGCACCAAAGAUACAUGGUGUAUUCACAGGCAACAGAUUCAAAAGAACAUUUCAUUGGGAAGGCGAUCUCAAUGCGACCAUUGAACAGAUUUACAUGAAAUAUGUACGUAUUUAACAACUCUUGCUUCUCCCUGUAUUAAACUCAGUCAUGCUAAUGUGUUUGGUUAAAUGCAUCGAUGCUUGUUUAGCGUUGGGAGGGAAACCUUAAUGCAACACUAGCAGAAAUGGUAUUUGCGUAUUUAUUCUUAUGCUUUCUUCUUAAUUUUCAAGAUAUCUGUUGCAUGCAUAUAUGUUAUAUGUUUAUGAUAAGUCAGUUCAUUUGUUUUUCCCUUUGUCUUGUGGGAUC